This 125-nucleotide transfer-messenger RNA is filed under the name Acidimicrobiales bacterium. Its description in RNAcentral is "partial transfer-messenger RNA". It matches the Rfam family "transfer-messenger RNA", at positions 236 to 374 of the family's 374-position model. Rfam says of the family: Bacterial tmRNA, also known as 10Sa RNA or SsrA, is named for its dual tRNA and mRNA-like properties. Its role is to liberate the mRNA from a stalled ribosome. The record is from RNAcentral. Lineage: Bacteria; Bacillati; Actinomycetota; Acidimicrobiia; Acidimicrobiales.
GUUGGCUGGAGCCCUGCGCCGAUGCCGGUGACGAGCCAGGACUCGAGAUCCUUAGACCGGCUGCGCUCGGAGAAGGCCUACUGAGAAGCUGAAGGACGCGGGUUCGAUUCCCGCCACCUCCACAA